Molecule: long non-coding RNA, 2334 nt
Filed under: Homo sapiens (human)
Lineage: Eukaryota; Metazoa; Chordata; Mammalia; Primates; Hominidae
Description: FTX transcript, XIST regulator
Source: RNAcentral
GUAUAUGUACCACAUUUUCUUUAUCCAUUCAUCCAUUGAUGAAUACAUAAGUUGAUUCCAUACAUUGGCUAUUGUGAGUAGUGCCACAAUAAACAUGGAAGUACAAAUAGUUAUUUGAUAUACUGAUUUCCUUUCCUUUGGAUAAAUACCCAGUACUUGGAUUGCUGUAUCAUAUGCAAAAAACUAAAAGUUUUACUUUUAGUUUUUUGAGAAGUCUGCAUACUGUUUUCCAUAAUGGCUGUACUAUUUACACUCCUACCAACAGUGUAUAAGAGUUCCCUUUACUCAUCAUCCUUGCCAGCAUUGCUAAUUUUUGUCUUUCUGAUAAUAGCUAUUUUUUUUUUUUUUGAGACUGAGUUUCACUCUUGUUACCCAGACUGAAGUGCAAUGGUGCAAUCUCGGCUCACCACAACCUCCACCUCCCAGGUUCAAGCAAUUCUCCUGCCUCAGCCUUCCGAGUAGCUGGGAUUACAGGCAUACACCACCAUGCCAGGCUAAUUUUUUGUAGUUUUAGUAGAGACGGGGUUUCUCCAUGUUGGUCAGGCUGGUCUCGAAGUCCCGACCUCAGGUGAUCCGCCCACCUCGGCCUCCCAAAGUGCUGAGAUUACAGACAUGAGCCACUGCUCCCAGCCUUGCUAAUAGCUAUUCUAAUUAAGGAAAAGUUAUUUUACCUGAUGGAUUCCUCCUUGGUCACUUUUCAGCAGCAGCCUGCUCUUCUUUUGCAAUCUCUUCAGGAUCUCUGUAGAAGUAGAGAUCAGGCAUGAACUCCCACGGGUGUUCACGGGAAAUGGUGCCACGCAUGCGCAGAACUUCCCGAGCCAGCAUCCACCACAUCAAACCCACUGAGUGAGCUCCCUUGUUGUUGCAUGGGAUGGCAAUGUCCACGUAUCACAGAGGAGAAUCUGUGUUACACAGAGCAAUGUAGAGACGGGGUUUCACCGUGUUAGCCAGGAUGGUCUCGAUCUCCUGACCUCAUGAUCCACCCGCCUUGGCCUCCCAAAGUGCUGGGAUUACAGGCGUGAACCACCGCGCCCGGCCAGGAGAGUGUAUUUUCUACACAUAAGUUCAGGUCAUCUCCACACAGACCCAGUUUGCCUCCCUCUUUUCCGAUCUGAAUGCCUUUAAUUUCCUUCUCUUGCCUAACUGUACUGGCUAGAACAUCCCGAACUAGGUUGAAUGAGGUGCUGAGAGUGGGCAUAAUUGGCUUCUUUACCUCCGAAGAAAAUAUUUCAUGUUUUCUUCAUUGAUUAUGAUGUUAGUUGUGGGUAUUUCAUUUACUGCCUAUAUGGUAUAAAGAUACAUUCCUUCUAUGCCUAAUUGGUUGACAGCUUUUAUUAUAUCAAAUUCUAUAAAACUGUUUUAUUUUUAAAUCUAUUGAGAUGAUCAAAUGGCGGUGUCCCUCCUCCUUUAUAAGACUAUUUAAAACAUCCUUGCCUCAGAGGGACAAAUCCCAUUUGAACAUGGCAAGUAAUCCUCUUAAUAUAAAGUGGAAUUAGGUUUGACAGAAAUUACCAGUGAAGCACUAUGGGCAUAUAUUUGAUAGGAGAUUUUUAUUAUGGAUACAAUUUACUUGUUAUUGGUCUCUUCAGAUAUUCUUUCUCAUGACUGGAUUUGCGUACGUUGUAUGAGUACAAAUUUUUUCAUUUAUUCUACGCUGCUCUUUAUUAUAUGCUUCCUUCUGUAAAAUUUGGACUGUUUGUUCUUCCCAUUAUAUUAAUAGUUGCUUCAGGUGUAACAUAAGGUUAUUUUUUAAGUACUUUUCUGGUAUCACAAAUAUUGGUGUUUUGUGUUUCAUCUUUCAUUUGUCAAAAUAUUUUUUAACUUCCAUUUGGAUUUAAUGAUUCACCCAUUCAUUAUUCAAAAGCAUAUUGUUUAAUUUCUAUGUGUUUGUGAACAUUCUAAUGUUCAUUCUACUAAUAGUUCCUAGGUUCAUGCAAUGUGCUUAAAAAUGUGGUAUAAUUUCUGUAUUAUUAAAUGUAAAACUAGUCUUGAUUCGUAACAUAAGGCCUACGCAAAGAUCCAUCUUCUGCAGAGAAGAAUGUAGAUUGUGCCGCUGUUAGACGAAGUAUUCUGUAUACGUCAGUUUGCUUUAUUUGGCAUAAAGUGUAGUGUAAGCCAGAUGUAGUGUAAGUCAGAUCCAGAUGAUCUGCCCAUUGCUGAAACUUCAGUACUUAAGUCCCCUAUUAUUAUUGUAUGGCAAUCUAUCUGUCCACUCAGAAGUUAUUAUAUUUGUUUUAUAUGAUUGAGCACUUCUGUUUUGGGUAUAUAUGUAUUUACAAUUACUAUAACCUCUUGCUGAAUUAACCCCUUUUACCAUUAUGUAAUAAACUUAUU